RNAcentral lists this ribosomal RNA (468 nucleotides) under uncultured bacterium. Its description in RNAcentral is "partial 16S ribosomal RNA". It matches the Rfam family "Bacterial small subunit ribosomal RNA", at positions 28 to 507 of the family's 1533-position model. The record is from RNAcentral.
GACGAACGCUGGCGGCGUGCUUAACACAUUCAAGUCGAACGGAAAGGCCCUGCUUUUGUGGGGUGCUCGAGUGGCGAACGGGUGAGUAACACGUGAGUAACCUGCCCUUGACUUUGGGAUAACUUCAGGAAACUGGGGCUAAUACCGGAUAGGAGCUCCUGCUGCAUGGUGGGGGUUGGAAAGUUUCGGCGGUUGGGGAUGGACUCGCGGCUUAUCAGCUUGUUGGUGGGGUAGUGGCUUACCAAGGCUUUGACGGGUAGCCGGCCUGAGAGGGUGACCGGCCACAUUGGGACUGAGAUACGGCCCAGAAUCCUACGGGAGGCAGCAGUGGGGAAUAUUGCACAAUGGGCGGAAGCCUGAUGCAGCAACGCCGCGUGCGGGAUGACGGCCUUCGGGUUGUAAACCGCUUUCGCCUGUGACGAAGCGUGAGUGACGGUAAUGGGUAAAGAAGCACCGGCUAACUACGUG